This 651-nucleotide long non-coding RNA is filed under the name Equus caballus (horse). RNAcentral describes it as "lncRNA (ENSECAG00000054569.1)". The record is from RNAcentral. Lineage: Eukaryota; Metazoa; Chordata; Mammalia; Perissodactyla; Equidae.
GAAGGCUUUUGAGCUCUGGGCCCUGAGCCGAGCCCUUCGCAGUGAAAGGUCCAGACUUGGGAGAGAAAAUAUGUGUCCCCAUCAGCAGAAGAGGAGACUGAUGUUCUGAGAGGAGCGGUUGACCUGCCACAGGUCCCACGGCCCCUUGCAAGUGGAACGGGGACUCCGACCUGGUCUCUUUGAUGGGAGAGGCUGAAAGUCCAAGAUCAAGGUGUCGGCAGGACCAGGCUCUCCGAAGGCCCUGAGGGAGGGUCCUUCCUGCCUUGGCAGAGGAGAGUUUCGUUCGAGCCAAGCUGAGGGCUAGCCCGGAAGCACAGCCUUCACGGAGGAGGAAAGCGCCCGGAGAAGCAUAGCUUUCAGCGAAGUUUAAACUAUUUUGGAACAAAGAACAUACACCAAGCACGACACGGAAAAUGAGACAAUAAUCAUAAGCUGUGCUGUGGAAAUGGAGAUAACCUAUGAGAGGAACUGAGAACAGUGCCUGCACAUACACGUCGUUGUCAUCAUUUCCAACACUGUUGCUGUUACCUGCCCUUCUCCCCCACCCCAUCCCACCCCCUUCCCCCAUCAGCACGUGCAUCUGAGUUUGGGGUCCCAGAAGUACAGUUUUCACUGUUUGUUUCAUAUUUGCAUGAGUUACAAGCAAUAGAA